This 301-nucleotide ribosomal RNA is filed under the name uncultured bacterium. Its description in RNAcentral is "partial 16S ribosomal RNA". It matches the Rfam family "Bacterial small subunit ribosomal RNA", at positions 509 to 807 of the family's 1533-position model. The record is from RNAcentral.
CAGUCGCCACGGUAAUACAGAGGAUGCAAGCGUUAUCCGGAAUGAUUGGGUGUAAAGCGUCUGUAGGUGGCUUUUCAAGUCCGCCAUCAAAUCCCCGGGCUCAACCCUGGACAGGCAGUGGAAACUACCAAGCUGGAGUACGGUAGGGGCAGAGGGAAUUUCCGGUGGAGAGGUGAAAUGCGUUGAGAUUGGAAAGAACACCAACGGUGAAAGCGCUCUGCUGGGCCGACACUGACACUGAGAGACGAAAUCUAGGGGAGCAAAUGGGAUUAGAUACCCCUGUAGUCCCUGUCUCUUAUAC